UACGGAGGGGGCUAGCGUUGUUCGGAAUUACUGGGCGUAAAGCGCGCGUAGGCGGAUUGUUAAGUCGGGGGUGAAAUCCCGUGGCUCAACCCCGGAACUGCCUUCGAUACUGGCAAUCUGGAGUUCGAGAGAGGUGAGUGGAAUUCCGAGUGUAGAGGUGGAAUUCGUAGAUAUUCGGAUGAACACCAGUGGCGAAGGGGGCUCACUUGGUCGAUACUGACGUUUAGGAGCGAAAGCGUGGGGAGCAAACAGG
Molecule: ribosomal RNA, 253 nt
Filed under: uncultured bacterium
Lineage: Bacteria
Description: partial 16S ribosomal RNA
Rfam family: Bacterial small subunit ribosomal RNA
Source: RNAcentral